This 249-nucleotide long non-coding RNA is filed under the name Oryza sativa Indica Group (long-grained rice). RNAcentral describes it as "lncRNA OsMH63_08G013000". Lineage: Eukaryota; Viridiplantae; Streptophyta; Magnoliopsida; Poales; Poaceae. The record is from RNAcentral.
GUGCGGCAGGCGUCAGGCGGCAGGACCGCACGAGAGAAAGAGGUGAGGCGUCGUUUACUUCUCCCGUUCAUUGCGAUUGGCGAUUGUGGGAGGCGGUUCAAGAUUGAGAACCGGCCAACUGUGCGAACCGGUAAAGGCGUAAUCGAAGCCGAAACGACAAGAAAAAUAACAGAUUUUCAAGACUAUUUUGGGCCUAGGGGCCCUGAAAAUUGGGGGCCCUGUGCAGGCACGCUGGCCGCAUGCCCCUAG